Molecule: ribosomal RNA, 1679 nt
Filed under: human gut metagenome
Description: bacterial LSU rRNA
Rfam family: Bacterial large subunit ribosomal RNA
Source: RNAcentral
CCAAUCGAACCCGGAGAUAGCUGGUUCUCCUCGAAAUAGCUUUAGGGCUAGCCUCAUGGAUCAUUGAUGGGGGUAGAGCACUGAAUGUGCGCGGGGGCCACAAAGCCUACCAAACGCUAUCAAACUUCGAAUACCAUACAAUGCAGACCAUGGGAGUCAGUCCGCGAGAGAUAAGUUCCGCGGGCAAAAGGGGAACACCCCAGAUCAACCGCUAAGGUCCCCAAGUUCACGUUAAGUGGAGAAGGAUGUGGAAUUGCACAGACAACCAGGAUGUUGGCUCAGAAGCAGCCACACAUUUAAAGAGUGCGUAAUAGCUCACUGGUCGAGUGAUUGUGCGCCGAAGAUGUCCGGGGCUAAACGUGACACCGAAGCGAUGGGUGCAUCUGAAAGGAUGCGCGGUAGAGGAGCAAUGUGCAGAGGCAGAAGCCGUAUCGAGAGGCACGGUGGACACUGCACAAGAGAGAAUGCCGGUAUGAGUAGCGAGAGGCAUGCGAGAAACAUGCCCGUCGAAAGCCCAAGGUUUCCUGGGGAAGGUUCAUCCGCCCAGGGUAAGUCGGGGCCUAAGCCGAGGACGGAAGUCGUAGGCGAUGGAUAGCAGGUGUAGAUUCCUGCACUACCGAUGGAAUGAAGCAGUGACACAGAAGGAUAACUCGAGCAGGGUGAUGGUCAACCCUGUGCAAGCAUCAAGGUUGGGUUGUAGUGAAGUACGCAAUCCUAUAAGCUGAGAUGUGAUGCGGACCGAAAUUUCAGUAGGGAAGCGAGUGAGUUCACGCUGGCGAGAAAAGCUGCUAGUACAUCCAAAGGUACCCGUACCGGAAACCGACGCAGGUGGGCGAGGAGAGAAUCCUGAGACGAACGGGAGAACCCUUGUUAAGGAACUCGGCAAAAUGACCCCGUAACUUCGGGAUAAGGGGUGCCUGCGAGAGCAGGCCGCAGAGAAUAGUCACAAGCGACUGUUUAGCAAAAACACAGGUAUCUGCGAAAGCGAGAGCUGACGUAUAGGUGCUGACACCUGCCCGGUGCUGGAAGGUUAAGGGAACAUGUUAGAGCAAUCGAAGCAUCGAACCGAAGCCCCAGUAAACGGCGGCCGUAACUAUAACGGUCCUAAGGUAGCGAAAUUCCUUGUCGGGUAAGUUCCGACCCGCACGAAUGGUGUAACGACUUGUGAGCUGUCUCAACAGGGGGCCCGGUGAAAUUGAAGUAUGGGUGAAGAUGCCCAUUACCCGCGACUGGACGGAAAGACCCCGUAGAGCUUUACUGCAGCCUGAUAUUGAGUUUCGGUAACUGAUGCACAGGAUAGGUGGGAGUCUGAGAGACAUGGGUUUCGGCUCAUGUGGAGACGGUGUUGGGAUACCACUCUUCGGUUACUGAAAUUCUAACAUAGCUCUGUGAAACCAGAGGAUGGACAGUGUCAGGUGGACAGUUUGACUGGGGCGGUCGCCUCCGAAAGAGUAACGGAGGCGCCCAAAGGUACCCUCAGAAUGGAUGGAAACCAUUCGAAGAGCGCAAAGGCAGAAGGGUGCCUGACUGCGAGAUUGACAAAUCGAGCAGAGACGAAAGUCGGGCUUAGUGAUCCGGCGGUAUUGAGUGGAAAAGCCGUCGCUUAACGGAUAAAAGCUACCUCGGGGAUAACAGGCUGAUCUCCCCCAAGAGUCCACAUCGACGGGGAGGUUUGGCAC